CCUACGGGAGGCAGCAGUGGGGAAUUUUGCGCAAUGGGGGCAACCCUGACGCAGCAACGCCGCGUGAGUGAUGAAGGCCUUCGGGUCGUAAAGCUCUGUCAGAGGGGAAGAAAUGCAGGUGGUGAACAACCAUUCUGUUUGACGGUACCCUCAAAGGAAGCACCGGCUAACUCCGUGCCAGCAGCCGCGGUAAUACGGAGGGUGCGAGCGUUGUUCGGAAUUAUUGGGCGUAAAGCGCGUGUAGGCGGUUUGUUAAGGUGGAGGUAAAAGCCCAGGGCUCAACCUGGAAAGUGCAUUGGAUACUGGCAGACUUGAGUACGGGAGAGGAGAGGGGAAUUCCCAGUGUAGGAGUGAAAUCCGUAGAUAUUGGGAGGAACACCGGUGGCGAGGGCGGCUCUCUGGACCGAUACUGACGCUGAGACGCGAAAGCGUGUGGAGCAAACAGGAUUAGAUACCUUGGUAGU
Molecule: ribosomal RNA, 464 nt
Filed under: uncultured Geobacteraceae bacterium
Lineage: Bacteria; Pseudomonadati; Thermodesulfobacteriota; Desulfuromonadia; Geobacterales; Geobacteraceae
Description: partial 16S ribosomal RNA
Rfam family: Bacterial small subunit ribosomal RNA
Source: RNAcentral